Molecule: ribosomal RNA, 253 nt
Filed under: uncultured bacterium
Lineage: Bacteria
Description: partial 16S ribosomal RNA
Rfam family: Bacterial small subunit ribosomal RNA
Source: RNAcentral
UACGUAGGUGGCAUGCGUUGUCCGGAUUUACUGGGCGUAAAGGGCGUGCAGGCGGUUUGUUAAGUCUAGGGUGAAAGCUCCCGGCUCAACUGGGAGAGGUCCUUGGAUACUGGCGAACUUGAGGGAUGCAGAGGAAAGUGGAAUUCCCGGUGUAGUGGUGAUAUGCGUAGAUAUCGGGAGGAACACCAGUGGCGAAGGCGGCUUUCUGGGCAUUUCCUGACGCUGAGACGCGAAAGCGUGGGGAGCGAACCGG